This 465-nucleotide ribosomal RNA is filed under the name Vreelandella stevensii. RNAcentral's name for it is "partial 16S ribosomal RNA". It matches the Rfam family "Bacterial small subunit ribosomal RNA", at positions 338 to 795 of the family's 1533-position model. The record is from RNAcentral. Lineage: Bacteria; Pseudomonadati; Pseudomonadota; Gammaproteobacteria; Oceanospirillales; Halomonadaceae.
CCUACGGGCGGCAGCAGUGGGGAAUAUUGGACAAUGGGCGAAAGCCUGAUCCAGCCAUGCCGCGUGUGUGAAGAAGGCCUUCGGGUUGUAAAGCACUUUCAGUGGGGAAGAAAGCCUUGGGGCUAAUACCCUCGAGGAAGGACAUCACCCACAGAAGAAGCACCGGCUAACUCUGUGCCAGCAGCCGCGGUAAUACGGAGGGUGCGAGCGUUAAUCGGAAUUACUGGGCGUAAAGCGCGCGUAGGCGGUCUGAUAAGCCGGUUGUGAAAGCCCCGGGCUCAACCUGGGAACGGCAUCCGGAACUGUCAGGCUAGAGUGCAGGAGAGGAAGGUAGAAUUCCCGGUGUAGCGGUGAAAUGCGUAGAGAUCGGGAGGAAUACCAGUGGCGAAGGCGGCCUUCUGGACUGACACUGACGCUGAGGUGCGAAAGCGUGGGUAGCAAACAGGAUUAGAUACCCGGGUAGUC